UACCAGCACCCCGAGUGGUCGGGACGAUCAUUGGGCCUAAAGCAUCCGUAGCCGGUCAUGCAAGUCUUCCGUUAAAUCCAGCCGCUCAACGGUUGGGCUGCGGAGGAUACUACGUGGCUAGGAGGCGGGAGAGGCAAGCGGUACUCAGUGGGUAGGGGUAAAAUCCUUUGAUCCAUUGAAGACCACCAGUGGCGAAGGCGGCUUGCCAGAACGCGCUCGACGGUGAGGGAUGAAAGCUGGGGGAGCAAACCGG
This 253-nucleotide ribosomal RNA is filed under the name uncultured bacterium. RNAcentral's name for it is "partial 16S ribosomal RNA". It matches the Rfam family "Archaeal small subunit ribosomal RNA", at positions 474 to 727 of the family's 1478-position model. The record is from RNAcentral.